This 399-nucleotide ribosomal RNA is filed under the name Pelobates cultripes (western spadefoot toad). Its description in RNAcentral is "SSU_rRNA_microsporidia". It matches the Rfam family "Eukaryotic small subunit ribosomal RNA", at positions 106 to 471 of the family's 1831-position model. Lineage: Eukaryota; Metazoa; Chordata; Amphibia; Anura; Pelobatidae. The record is from RNAcentral.
GAGGAGGUAGCCAACACUGUUUUUUAUAUAUAUAUAUAUAUAUAUAUAUAUAUAUGUAUAUAUAUAUAUUUUUUUUUAAUUGGGGUAGCCCCCCAAAUAUGGGGACAUAUAAAAAAAGACAACUCUGUUCCGCAGAGUAGCUGUUGACAUUAUAGUUGAGCAGGCACUUUGUUGACUCUAGAGAACCUCGAGCCAAUCACACAUCCCCGUGACGGCGACUUUGCAUUCGGAUGUCAUCCAUAUCAACUUUCGAUGCCAGCUUCUGCACCUACCAUGGGGACCACAGGUAACGGGGAAUCAGGGUUCCAUUCCAUACAAGGACCCUGAGAAAUGGCUACCACAUGCAAGGAAGGCAGCAGGCGCGCAAAUGACCCACUCCUGACGCGGGAAGGUAGUGAC